CGGGUGAGUAACGCGUAGACAACCUGCCUCUUAGAUGGGGACAACAUCGCGAAAGCGGUGCUAAUACCGAAUGAAGUGGAGCUUCCGCAUGGAAGCAUCACCAAAGGUGGCCUCUAUUUAUAAGCUACCACUGAGAGAUGGGUCUGCGUCUGAUUAGCUAGUUGGCGGGGUAAUGGCCCACCAAGGCGACGAUCAGUAGCCGGUCUGAGAGGAUGAACGGCCACAUUGGGACUGAGACACGGCCCAAACUCCUACGGGAGGCAGCAGUGGGGAAUCGUUCCGCAAUGGACGAAAGUCUGACGGAGCAACGCCGCGUGAGUGAAGAAGGUUUUCGGAUCGUAAAGCUCUGUUGUUGAGACGAAUGUGCAGACUUUGAAUAAGGGUUUGUAAAUGACGGUAUUAAACGAGAAAGCCACGGCUAACUACGUGCCAGC
This 434-nucleotide ribosomal RNA is filed under the name uncultured bacterium. RNAcentral's name for it is "bacterial SSU rRNA". It matches the Rfam family "Bacterial small subunit ribosomal RNA", at positions 103 to 512 of the family's 1533-position model. The record is from RNAcentral.